UUGCUUCUGCAGCAUAUAUACUAAAAUUGGAACAAUACAGGGAAGAUUAGCGUGUCCCCUGCAUAAGGAUGAUAUAAAUUUGUGAAGCAUUCCAUAUUUUC
Small nuclear RNA from Gallus gallus (chicken), 101 nucleotides. The record is from Ensembl. Lineage: Eukaryota; Metazoa; Chordata; Aves; Galliformes; Phasianidae.